UAACAAUUCCCCUACUGUCACUACUGC
RNAcentral lists this non-coding RNA (27 nucleotides) under Mus musculus (house mouse). Lineage: Eukaryota; Metazoa; Chordata; Mammalia; Rodentia; Muridae. The record is from RNAcentral.